GUCAAAUCAUUCAAAAUCCAUUUCUCUUAUCUCCAACGGCUACUUCAAACUUCCCUUCUCUCUCUUCUUUCUCUCUUUCACUCCCUUCUCUCCAUCCCCAACAAUGAAGCACUUCAUGCUUCCAAGAAACCCAAUGGCGAGGGACGCAGAAGAGCUUCAAUCUUCAUCAAGCCCUCGCAGCUCCGCCAAAACCAGACCCUCUUCUCGUAAACACCGUCCAAAGAAAACGAUCCUCCUUCAGAUCACAACAUCAUCGUCCCGUAUUCACCCUCUCAUGGAAAAUCGAAGAAGAGUCCGUUACCGCCAAGACCUCCAUCUUCCAAUCCUCUCAAACGCAAACUCUCGACACCGUCGCCGGCGGCAACUUCCGAUUCCGGUGUUAAGGUUAUUGUGAGGAUGAGGCCGUUGCGGAAGGAUAAGGACGAAGGAGAUCCUAUAGUUCAAAAGAUUUCUGGUGGCCGUACUUUCACGUUUGAUUCUGUUGCUGAUGUUGAAGCUACUCAGGUUUCUAAAAUUGUGCCUCAAGUAGUGUGAUGUUUCUAUUGCCUCGCGGUUUCGGAGUUGAUUUUGAUUUAGCUCUGGAAUAUGUAUAGAUGCAUAUAUUUUUUGAAGGGCCUCGGAUAGAGUUGAUUCCUACAUGAAUUACUCUACGAUUGCUUAAUAUGGCACUAAAUUCAAGUCCCAAUUUCGGUUGCCUUUCGGUCAUGUGGCUUUUCUCUUGGGCUUUCUUACGAGCACUUCAAAAGCAAAGUAAGCACAUACUCAUACUCCUGGAGACUCAAGGAAGCUAAAGGCAUUAUUUUUCGUCUCCAAAAGUAGUUGUAAAGGGGCAUCGGACUCUCUCCGAUAGGUAACGCUUCACACUCUUUGAACUUUUGCUCAUCAUUUUCGACCAUUCUUGAUACUGAAUCACUGCUUGGGUUAACAUGAGUUGAAGCCCUAUGAAAAUAGGCAUUGAUUGUUUGUAUGCGUGAUUUAAUUUCACUCUCUUGAGUUAUCCCUGAGAUACUUUGUCAUGAUACUUGCUUGAGAUGUAUGCUUUGAUUGCUUGAUUCCUCAUUGUUAUUGCUCGUGUCACCAAAUCCAAAAGAAUGGGAUAGUCUUGACUAAAAUUGUAACGGUAUUUACUCUCUUUUCCUCCUCUUUUACUUUGUGUUUAUUAUUGUUAAAGUUUAGCACUUUCUCUAUGUUUUAAAAAUGAUUUUGUAUUGUUAAACUCAACCUCUUUUUAAAUCAACCUUGAUUUUAUAUUGUUAAAUCUCAACCACCACUCUUUUAAUUCAUCAUUGCCGUGUAUUCUUAAACUCUCACACAAAUUGUCCUUGAAAUUUUUUCGAGUUUAGCCUUUUAAAUGAAAAAAAAAAAAACUUGUUAUUUGAUUUAUUAAAAACACCAAUAACACCACCCAUGAUAUAGAUUAUAAUGGUGAGAUGUCAAACAAAAUAAAAAUGAAAUUGCAGCCAUUACAUGAAAAUAGUAUUUAAAAUGUGUUAAUAAUAAUAAUAAUUAUAUUUAAAGUUUUCAAUUAAUCUUUCAAAAAGAUUAGAAAAGUUCGCAUAUCUAGUAUCUGGAUCAGUUAAUAUAUAAAUGGAUUUUCGAAUUUAUCAACUACAAAUCACAAUAUGCCCAAGCCCAACCAACCUCUUGCUCUUUAUUUUCAAACUCUUCAACUCAAAAUCCCCACCCAUCAUCUCCUUCACACUUUGUGGUCAACUAUUAAAUUAAAACAAAUAACAUAAGUACCAAUAAAAAAAAGAUUUCAAACUAUUAAAAUAUAAUAUUGUAUACAGACAAUAUUUAUAGAUUAAGAUUUUCGACAGGAACUUCAUUGACCACCAUAUUAACAUGUACGAGGUCAUUUUCAACAACACAGACGGCUGAUUGUGACGAUUUAUCUCCAACCUUCGUUUCUGAAAAUAUGUCCAAAAAUUAAGACAAACACAAACAACCAAUAGAGAAUAAAGUAGUUAAGAAAAUCACAAUGCUUAUGUACAAAAAUUGAAAGAAAGAAAAACACACAAACAAGGAAGAAUAAAGUGGUUAAGAAUAUCAUAUUGCUUAAAAUAGUUACAAACUUAAACAAAACAUAAAAGAGUUACAGGGUCCAUCCAACAGAGGGUGGUCAACUUUUACUUUAUGGGAGUGUCGUAUGAGAUAAUUUACCUCCAAGAAAUAGUGAACCGUUUUUCCGCCACACCGAACUAUUAUAUGUUAGACCGUAGCCCAGCAAGAUCAACAUAAGAGCCUGGAAUUACCUACUCAUAAUUAAUUACAAUUAAAUUAUAAGAUGUGUAAAUGAAACAAAUAUCCAUUAAAAAAUGAAAAUUGUAAUGAGACAUAUAGUCAAAUAAAUUCAAAACAAACAUGAAAAACAAAAUGUUUUUUUAACCAACUAAGCUAAAUGAGGAUUGAUACAGACAGCACAACAUUUCCCAUCAAUAAAAAGUUUAGUUAAGUAGUGUGUGCAUGAAUAUGAAAAAAUUACUCCAUAUUUCUGUACGGUGCAAUAUACCUUCUCAAUCACAACCUUAUUACAAAUACUUGGAAUCUUCUGAAUAAUUUUUUCUAUGAUAUGUAUAGAAGCUGCAUAAAGGUUUGUGGCCUCGAAUUCCAGAGAAGGUCGUCGAUGUUCCCUGUUGUGAAUCAUGAAACAAAAUUGGUGUCAUGUCAAAAUUUGGUCAACACUUGACUUGUAAGCUUUCAUAACAAAAUAGGACUGAAUGACCAACAAAACUGAAGUGGGGAAAGGGUUUAGAAAAAGCAAAGAUGGUAGGAGAAAAUGUUUGAUGGUACUACAGGUACGGGUACACGAUAAAAAUGAAAUUUAAUGAAUAUGUUUAAAAUAAGCAUCCAUAUGUUAUAUAAAAUUGCACGACUAAAGAACUGAAACAAAAAUGAAGAUAUAACCAUGUGUUUUGUAAUUCUCCCAGCAUCGGAGAGUUAUGUUUAUUGGCAGGAAGGACGUAGGAAAACAGUCUCCAUAGUAGAUUGUUAUGCCAAUAACUUCCCCAGAUAUAUUAAUUACAACACCACCCUCACCGCACUACAACAAAGACAAAUAAAGAUCCAAGAGAUAAGCUAUCAAAGUCAAAGAGUCGAACAACAAGGGACAAACAGAGAUACAAUGGAUAAGCUAUCAAAAUUAAAAAUGAGUCGGACAACCUUCAUAAAUGUAGAGAAAUACUUCAUAAAAAUAGUAUAUAGGUGAAAAAGAAAUACAUGUUAAUAAAUAAAGCAAAAAUAAUAAAAUGAUAACAAGGAAACUAGGCCAUAAUUAAAAUGGAUAGAAAUUACUUUUGUAAUAUUGAAGUCCCAAUGAAAAGCUCCUUACAAUCACGAUUGCAGCAUGCAAGAUUGGAAAGGAACAAAAAAAUUAAUAACAAUGAAAUUAUACCAAAAUAAAGUAACAAAUUAUCCAAAGAUGAAAAUUUUAAGCAAUAAAGAGAACAAGUGUCUCUAUCAAACUAACAUGAAUUCGCCAGGGGAAUUGAUGAUAUCUUACGGCGGGGUAAAAUAACGUCCCACGACCAUUAUUAGAUCACCUGAAACAAUGUUAUUGGAAUGUGGACUCAUAUGUAACAACUACUUCUCUUUUUUUGGAUGGAUUAACAUUUAUAAAAUGAUUUGAAUCCCUUAACUUUACAGUGACGUGAGAUAAUUAAAAACGAAACCUUAUUCAAACUAAGUUAUAGUGGAAAUUGAAUAAUUAUGAUUUAUUUUUGCAGAUUAAUAUAUGAUUAUUUGCAUGGCAAGGGCCUAAAAAGAUAGAAACAAAUGAAUUAUACAAAUGUAAAGGCUUAGACAUACGGUUGUAAUAUUUAGAAAAAAACAUGUUUGAAGUGGGGGUAAAACUUUAAGAUUUUCAGCUAAAACAUCUUCCAUCAUGUCUGAUUUUCUAGAAUGACGACGAAUGAGAUUGGCGGGCGUCAAAACAAUAUAACCAUUACUACCAUCCUUUUCAAUGAUGACUCUAGAACAUUGAGUCAACAUUAUAUCCCCUAUAUUGAAACACCAAAAUAAUAACAUGAGUAUUGAUUGAUAGAAUAAAACAAACAAGUAAAAUGAAUUACAGAGUUGAAUACUCAUAUAAAAUACAAGUGCAACAACAAAAGAAGAAAUCUUCAGAGCAACUAAUAUUCAGAGCAGCUUCUUUGAGUGUAUAUUCGAAAAUGCAUUAUCAGUUUCGAAUUCAAACCUUGUUACACUCAAAAGGAACAAAGUUUUUUCAGUUUGGUUGAAUCAAGUAUUAUUACUAUUUGUUGUUCUAAGUGUACCAAAUUGAAAAAACUUUGUUCUUAUGAGUGUACCAAAGUUUGAAUUCAAAGCUGAUAAUGAGUUUCCGAAUAUA
This is a long non-coding RNA of Vicia villosa (hairy vetch), 4348 nucleotides long. RefSeq lists it as uncharacterized. The transcript has 3 exons. NCBI's taxonomy places the organism in Eukaryota, Viridiplantae, Streptophyta, Magnoliopsida, Fabales, Fabaceae. The record is from RefSeq and is a predicted model, not a curated record.